CUCAGCACCAGUUUUACAUUCCUUUCAUUCAACGACAACUUUUUAUACAACCUUUCUUCAAGCAUUGCCAAAGUUAUAUCAUCCACUGUUGUCUUCAUGGUUACACUAUAGACUCGAUCUUUGAAUUUGAAAUGUAUGCUCACGUGUUUCGACAUUGUAUCCUGCAAAAACAACAAAUUCAAGUCACGGUUAUACUAGUGUUAUCUAAUUAUCUACAGUUAUACGUAUUAUACUUCAAUUAUCAGUUCUACUAGUUUUACCAAGUUAUGCUUCAACUACAUAUCAAAUUGAGGUUUCAGGUACUAUAAGCUCAAGAACCUCAACUCAACUCAACUCAACUCAACUCAACUCAACUCAAUUCCAUAGAGGCAACUCAAAUCAAUCAACCAACCAUAUGCUUUAAUUAAUUCACAUUUCCAAUUACACACCCUAAAAACAAUUUUUAUCCAAUGCAGCUUGGGGAGGAGAACAACUAACCUGCAUUCGCCGGAGAAUCCAACGAUCGAGCUUUCUGGGGAGCUGAGAGAUUUCUCGGGAGCUGCGAAUUGAAUUC
RNAcentral lists this long non-coding RNA (553 nucleotides) under Brassica napus (rape). RNAcentral describes it as "long non-coding RNA (BNAP_LNC006746)". Lineage: Eukaryota; Viridiplantae; Streptophyta; Magnoliopsida; Brassicales; Brassicaceae. The record is from RNAcentral.